UUUCAAGAAAAAGAAGAUACGGUGAGACCUCACCUUUUAUCCACAACAAAAAACCCAGAAGUAAUUUACGAUUAAUAACAGAUCUGUUGCCUAAUUACAACAUAACAAAUCAAUAAAAAAAAACAAAGGGCAAAUAAUAGAAAAUGAAGGAAAAUUAACAAGCAAUCAAAGAGUAAAGCAGAGAGAGAAAUGGGGUUGAAGGUAGAAAGCAUUACUUUCUCUUCUUCCUCCAUGCCUUCUUCUUGCCUCCAAUAGCAUGGCGCUUGUGCAUCGAGUCAUGUGAGAUACCUACAUAUUAUCACAUAUUCAAAACCAGUGACACACAUACAGAGAGAGUGAGAGGAAGAGAGAGAGGGGGGGGGGUUAGAGUGGUACCCAUGGUUCCGGAGUGAGAGAGAGCUUCAGCGAGACCUCCUCCUCCUCCUCCGCACUUCGUGCAAGAAAAAGGAGAGACCCGGUGGCUGCCAUAGUUGCGGUGGUAGCUUUGUGGAAAAUUGAAAAUGGUAUCUCUUUUUUCUCUUGUGCGAAGUGAAUUUGGGUGUUGU
Molecule: long non-coding RNA, 545 nt
Filed under: Malus domestica (apple)
Lineage: Eukaryota; Viridiplantae; Streptophyta; Magnoliopsida; Rosales; Rosaceae
Description: long non-coding RNA (MDOM_LNC002505)
Source: RNAcentral